Molecule: long non-coding RNA, 631 nt
Organism: Rhipicephalus microplus (southern cattle tick)
Lineage: Eukaryota; Metazoa; Arthropoda; Arachnida; Ixodida; Ixodidae
Source: RefSeq, a predicted model, not a curated record
UUCCGACCAUGGAUGUAGCGCAAAAGUGCGAAAGAACAUUAUGUGCGGAAAGCUUUUGGUGCGGUGUCAGGAAGAGGGAGAGCCAUUACGUCAAGUGAGAGGAAGCAGCUGGCUUUCGCCUUCGUGUUCUUUUAAGUGAAUGCAAAAGUAACCCUGUUACCCUGACGGACGACGUGUACGUCACCGAAGGCGGGCGAUCGGCGUUUCGGCUGGCGGCCACGUUUUCUGCCGAUGUGGCCUUGGACGACGCCGAGGCCGCUGGUGCCUUCGUGAGCACGUUGCUUCUGCGGCAUCUUGCUGUACCCUCAUCCGCCAAGCUGUCUUCCGUGCUGCAGUUGUCGAAGUACCGCUGUUUCGAGUUCGUUCAGGACGUGGCUCCGCACGCUAUGUCGUUGUUUCUUGCUGAAGGAAGCGUUCCAACGUCAGACAUAGACACAGCACAAUCUGUAAUAGCUAACAUACGCUUGGUUCUGGAGGCGGGCCUUGCUGUACUUCCAGAAGCCGAGAGAAAGAAGGCCUCGGCAAAGCUUCGUGAGAUUGAAGAUGUCAUUCGUAAGUGUUCUCGAGCACAAUUUCGCAUUGUUAUUGAAAAUUUUUUACAUCAAAUAAAACAAAACCUAUCUUUAUGUUA